RNAcentral lists this ribosomal RNA (253 nucleotides) under uncultured bacterium. RNAcentral's name for it is "partial 16S ribosomal RNA". It matches the Rfam family "Bacterial small subunit ribosomal RNA", at positions 524 to 776 of the family's 1533-position model. The record is from RNAcentral.
UACGGAGGAUGCAAGCGUUAUCCGGAUUUAUUGGGUUUAAAGGGUCCGCAGGCGGACUUAUAAGUCAGUGGUGAAAGCCUACAGCUUAACUGUAGAACUGCCAUUGAUACUGUAAGUCUUGAAUUCGGUCGAAGUGGGCGGAAUGUGUAGUGUAGCGGUGAAAUGCUUAGAUAUUACACAGAACACCGAUAGCGAAGGCAGCUCACUAGGCCUGGAUUGACGCUCAGGGACGAAAGCGUGGGGAUCAAACAGG